Long non-coding RNA from Lagenorhynchus albirostris (white-beaked dolphin), 290 nucleotides. RefSeq lists it as uncharacterized. The transcript has 3 exons. The record is from RefSeq and is a predicted model, not a curated record. Lineage: Eukaryota; Metazoa; Chordata; Mammalia; Artiodactyla; Delphinidae.
CUGCCCCCAGCUGUGCACACUGAGGGGAUUCGAGAUGGAGAAAGACAGGAUGCUGGCCCUAGAUAGUAAAGAUGUGGAAAGUGAAGACAGACAGGUGAAGAAAUGUUUCUUAGGGCACCUGGACCUGGACUCACAACCCCAGCCCAGUAUCCUCCCUUCCUGAGGGCUGCCUCUAACCCAGGCGGUUACUCUGCUUUGUGCUUUAGAUUACACAGAGUCUGUCUCUGUUGCUUGCAACCCGGUGGCAGAGCCUGGAGAUUGGAAACCCAGGCUCUUAAAUCAGAUGAACC